This 403-nucleotide ribosomal RNA is filed under the name bacterium. RNAcentral's name for it is "partial 16S ribosomal RNA". It matches the Rfam family "Bacterial small subunit ribosomal RNA", at positions 355 to 776 of the family's 1533-position model. The record is from RNAcentral.
UGGGGAAUAUUGCACAAUGGAGGGAACUCUGAUGCAGCGACGCCGCGUGAACGAAGAAGGCUUUCGAGUCGUAAAGUUCUUUUAUAUGGGAAGAUAAUGACGGUACCAUAAGAAAAAGCCCCGGCUAACUACGUGCCAGCAGCCGCGGUAAUACGUAGGGGGCUAGCGUUGUCCGGAAUCACUGGGCGUAAAGGGUUCGCAGGCGGAAAUGCAAGUCAGGUGUAAAAGGCAGUAGCUUAACUACUGUAAGCAUUUGAAACUGCAUAUCUUGAGAAGAGUAGAGGUAAGUGGGAUUUUUAGUGUAGCGGUGAAAUGCGUAGAUAUUAAAAAGAAUACCGGUGGCGAAGGCGACUUACUGGGCUCAUUCUGACGCUGAGGAACGAAAGCGUGGGUAGCAAGCAGG